This 269-nucleotide unclassified non-coding RNA is filed under the name Hevea brasiliensis (rubber tree). Lineage: Eukaryota; Viridiplantae; Streptophyta; Magnoliopsida; Malpighiales; Euphorbiaceae. The record is from RNAcentral.
UUUAUAACAUUUCAUUUUGGAAGCAGACUUGGAGAUUGCUAUUACAGCCUUAAAGAAAAAUGUCACAAACAGUAGAAAAAUCCAAGCUACAAUCCCGCCCAUCAAGAUCAUAUCCUCAUCACACCCUCCCAUUAUGUUUUCAAUGGUUAAAAGAUCAGCAAACCGUGCUGCUGAUUGUAUAGCUAAAUUGUCUUUGAGUGGCUUACUCCAUUGGAUCAACAAUCAUCCCCCUCAACUUUCUAUCAUUCUGUAUGAUGAUGCCUUUGGGC